AACCGCCGAACUGGGGAGAGGAUGCCAGCAGCGUUUGAACAACAGGGGCGUUGGAGAGGGGAGGGGGAGGGGGAGGCUUGAGGUUUGGGAUCUCCGCGGCGUGUGGCGUUGCUGUGCAGCUCGCUCUACGCCGGCGCGCCGUCUCCGCUGCUGGGACUGCUGCUGCUCCUGAUGCUCAGGAGGGGCGUCGCCUCGCGGGGCCCCAGCCUACGGCUCGGGCUUCUCGGGCGCGGCGGCGGCGGCGUCGGGCGCGCGCGCGGAGAGUCGUCGGAUCAGCAGUCCGGCAGCGGCGGCGGCGGCGGCGUCCUAUUGCCGCGCAGGAGGGGCAGGGGACGGGCAAGCAGGGGGAGGGGGCAGCCCCUGCGGGUCCCAGCGGCGGCGCCCAGGAGCGAGGGCGCAGCGGCAGCGCUCAAGAGCAGCGGCCUGGGGGCCUAGUCCCUCUCCGCGGCCAGCGGCGGCGGGGGACGCUCCGCGGCGGGACCGUCGGGCGGCGGGGGGGUCGCAGCGGCGAAGUCAGGUGGACCAAUGGUCGGAGCGGGGGGUGCUAAGAUGCUGCUCGGCGUUCAUAAUACCGGUUCGUGACGUUGGGGGAGAUUCAUAGUUUACUUCAUACCUUAACCGACAAGAUGACAUUGUCAAAAGUUGAACCGACGUAUCCUCUGUCCUAGAAUCAUAACUGCGAAGAAUACCGUUACAGACGAACAACCAAAUCGGAAAAACCAUAAAUUACACCUACGGUAUUGUUGAGUCAACGACACGUUAACCACUUGGGACUGUUCCAACCUCAACACUAUUAGCCGUUUUGUUCCCGACUCCUGGACUUAACAUAACUACGUCGACACCAAUGUAUGAACAGGCUCUCGAUGUUCAGAACAACUUUAAUUGAACCGUGCACCUAUAAAUCCUUAAGGAAAUUAUACUUAGACUCAACACAGAACAACGUAGUUAUGUUGGACUGGUUGAGGAGGUAAAACUAAUAAACCGUUAAGACUAUUGAAGUGUUACUCAAUUCAGUACUCGAUGUAAAACCUUAAUCGUAGUACCGCAAGCAGACUGGUAGAAAAGUUUUUCAACUACCUCUAAACCAACUCUUUUUGUGCGACGUCUAAGGCCUUAUUUCAUGUAGUCGUUCACGUCGUCAACUAUAGUAGUUAACCAUGUCCCUAAAGUCGUAAUCCCUAGUAGGUAACAAUACUUAUACUCCUCAGUGUAGAACGGUUCUAGUUAACAACCUGGACUAGUUGACGAGGUAAACUCGAAAACUCUAUUCUUAUCAGCACAACUUGAACUCCAUCACAGCUCCUUCGGCACCAGUCACAAAACCGCGACGGACUCAAAAACCUCAAUUGUACUUAGACUCAACGCAGAACAACGUAGUUAUGUUGGACUGGAUGAGGUAAAACUCAUAAACCAUCAAGACUAUUGAAAUGUUACUUAAUUCAGCACCCUAUGUAAAACCUUCAUCGUAGUACUACAAGAAAACUGGCAAAAGGGUUGUUCAACAACCUCUAAGCCAGUUCCUUUCACGUGACGCCUAUGGUCGUAUCACAGGUAGUCGCUCACGUCGUCAACUAUAGUAGUUAGCCAUGUCCCUGAAGCCGUAAUCCGUAGACGUACUACGAACCUAUGACUUAACAGAUGAAAAACUAUACCUGUUGACUCUAAAGUAACAGGUUCUGGGAUACACGAUCAUUCUAACGCUCAAACAAACUACCAUUUCUCUUCUAACUUCGUCUGUCUGUUGAACCAUCGGAAACGUCCUUCUGUUGUAGACCAUCCUUCAUUGUAUCCUAAGGACGACGGACAACGAAUACGGAAGAAGUACAUCCUUGAAGAGAAAUUGAAAUUUACCUCUUAAUCGGAUUAUUACGGGUUAUUCGAUCGGAAUAUACCUCCCAGAACCUUCUCUUUGGGGACACAAAAUCCGGCUGACGUAUGAAUGAGAGGUUCUAUGGUAACCGCUUGACGGCGCGACAUGACGAAACCGCGUAUACGUAACCGUACUACUUACCAACUCUCAAGGACUGAAACGCACUUCAAUACCCCGACAAUGACCGAGUGAACCUCUAUUCGAAAAGAAUCGUCUUAGACUAAUGUUAUAGACUUACACAUCAGUACUUAGUCUAUCAGCACAAAACCCAACUCGUCGUCGAAGUUGCCAUAAAGGAAGAGUCUCGAAAGAAUUCUUUACAACCGGAAACGUUAAUGAUGGAGUAAGCCUAUACCGUACGUACGACCUGGUAGUGGAGGCGCGGUUGCGUCUAAUCUUUCGUCGUUGAAACUACUGCGAUAACCAGGUGCAAUGUGGGUACCGAUACUUCCCUUACCAUCUCCUAUACGUUCCCCACCAUCCCCUAUACUUCACCCACCAUCCCCUAUACUUCCCCCACCAUCUCCUCCACGUUCCAAGGCUCUACAAAGAGGUGGUAUACCUUCUCCUCCGUCCAGCGUGCCCUCCCCCCCGAUAUUACCAGGACCUUUCCUCAAGUAAGAUUAACUACCUCUUAUACAAGUGUCCUUACUAGGUUUAGAAAGUGGUUCUCUUCCACUAACCUAUACGGUCUUAGGCUCGACACCUUUGGAGUUGAAACGAGCUUCUUCGGUGACAUUGUUGACGUUGUUUGUGGCGAUACUCAGAUCAGCGUCAGGAGUGUCCCCAAUGAAACUGAGAGGAGGUGCUCACGGACGUUCCGGCGAACCAGGUGGUUCACUAGCACGGGGAGGUUCUCUUUACCGGUCCAUGUUCGGUCGUGGGGCACUAACCCCACACCCACUAGGAUCUUCAAUAGGUCGAUCUAGCGGAGGUCUAGCACAUCCUGCUAAAGGUCUAGGCAACGUCUCACUUUCCCCAAAGGCACCACUUGCACUCAACGCACUGGGACACUUCAAACUCACCAGACGACGCCUCAUGUUCGUCUCCCUCGCAGGUGUACCACCCAACAUAGAACUGUCCUCGGCUAGAGGAGUCCCCUCGACCCCCUCGCUAUACGCCCUGUCUUCGUCUAGAGGACGUCCAUUGUCUGGUUACUUCCCACGAAAGAACCCGUCUCCAGCUGGUCUGGAUCUCAUACCACCAAGUAUACAUCCGGCCCCCGCCAACCUACGACCCGCGCCCGCACCUGCACCCGCACCGGCACAAAUGUCCGGUCCUCCACUAGGUAUGGGGCCGCUCCCAGCUCUACUAGCCGCGCGACGAGAAGUACCAUCCCUACUACCUGCCAUGAUCAAGUAGGAACCUUGACUACGAGACCUUUCUUUUUAGAUCAAUUCUGCCACGUCCAGUUCGGACAUUAUAAUUUGAUGGGCAUGACAAAGGAGUUGACACUACUGUAAACGUUACAAGACUUUACUUGUUCAGGUGAUAUGUAUCCUACCACCAUAAUAAAACCAAGUCACUCGUCGACCCAACAAUACAGUUUCGACUAGACUAAUAAACGAAGAAACCCAACGAAGAGCCAACCCAAUAUGGGAGUUCGGACCAGCCCACCUCAUAUACGGUUGUAUUCCUAAAGUCCAACGAGCCGUCGACAACCAGUGUACGUAACCGGCCGGGAACACCAGGUCCUCAACACCCAUAUUGGUCUCCCAAGGCGGUAGUGCUGUUAUACUCGAAAGUCACCUUGGGUGAUGUAACGUCCUACCGAGCUUUGUAGUUACUUUUUCAGUAGUAACCGUCUCGACCUUCUUUGUGUUCAAGACGAGUACAAAGUGGUUCCGGAUAAAUCCUAAACGUGACCCUUGCCCCUGUCCAGCGCCAUGCGGAACUAAACACAAUACUUACACAUAUAGAACACGACCAAUGUGGUCCACAUAGUUAAGUAAAACGUGUAUAUUAAGUGUUUUUAUUUUAUUUAGUAAAACGUGUAUCCUGGUUAACAUUAGAUUCACAAGUGUAUAUGAAGUAAACAGAACGUACCAUCAAAAUAA
RNAcentral lists this ribosomal RNA (3927 nucleotides) under Triticum aestivum (bread wheat). RNAcentral's name for it is "partial small subunit ribosomal RNA". Lineage: Eukaryota; Viridiplantae; Streptophyta; Magnoliopsida; Poales; Poaceae. The record is from RNAcentral.